This is a non-coding RNA of Microcebus murinus (gray mouse lemur), 1494 nucleotides long. NCBI's taxonomy places the organism in Eukaryota, Metazoa, Chordata, Mammalia, Primates, Cheirogaleidae. The record is from RefSeq and is a predicted model, not a curated record.
GGCGAGCGCGGCGUGCGGGCUCCGAGCGGCUGCGGGCGGCCUGGGCUUCCGGGGCCAGCGCCUGGGUGGCUGCGCUGCCGCGCCCGCUGCGAGAUGGCGAUCUUGGGCGCGGAUGGGUGAGGGCGCCCGCCGCAGGAGGAGGUGCCGCUGCCGUGGCCGCCCGGCUGCCGGGAGCCGACCGGUCGCUCGGCGCCUCCCUCGAACACGGAGACGGGUCUCCUCUGCCCUGACUCUCACCCCGUCACCCGUCCCGGUCCGAGGACGCCAGCCUUCGGAUGUCUUUUUCCGACGCGUUUUUGUCACUCCCGGUUCUUCACUGACUCUGCAGCUCCCCCAACACAACCCCCACCUCCACCUUUGUGACCUGGGUUGUCUCCUCACCAGACUAUGAGCUCCUUGAAAGAGGGAAUCGUGUCUUACUCAUCUUUGUAUCCCCAGUGUCUAGCUCAGUUCCUGAUACAUUGUUUUAGCUGAAUUUUGGGACAUGGCCACUGCUUCACCAAGGUCUGAUACUAGUAAUAACCACAGUGGAAGGUUACAGUUACAGGUAACUGUCUUCUAGCAUAUGGAUAAGAUCUGCAUAUACCGAGGCAGUGGCACUUUCAUUCGGAGUAAAGAAUCUUGGUUGGGGAGUAUCUUGGGAGAGAGCAAAUCUGGGCCUUCUAUAUUAGUCCAGUGGUGUUGAGCGUAGAGGAGCUUGGAACAGUGAAGGAUGGAAGUGAGUUUUGCUAAGACCCUGAUAGCACUUCAGACAUAACAUUGAAUAUUUCCUGAUUGCUUUAUGUUGACAGUACUAAAAUAUGGUAUUUGCUUUGAAUCUCUUUUGUUAUUCCUUAAAUAUUAAUUGAGGACUACUAUAUUUCAAGCACUUUACCUCUGCUGAAGCAUUUAUCACAUUGUAUUUCAGUGAUUUAUUUGUGUGACUAUUUAUUUGGAUUACUAUGCUCUCAUAAAAGAAUGGAAGCUUACAUAGCUUUAUUUGUUUUCAUAUCCUUAACAUUUGAUGCAUGUAACAUGGAGGAGGCUUUCCUUUUCCUUAUCUCAGACCCAGGUUGUUGAUGGGUAAUUGAUUAUAUAGGGGAUCUUGAUAAGUUGUUAUGGCUUGAUAGUCAGUAUUAUGCCCUGAAAGUAUGUAGUCCCCUCUUUGAAUUCAAAUAUUUAGCCUAAGCUAGUUUUUUCACACCUCAGGUAAAUUAGACUUAAAAUUCACUUUCUUUAUAGAAAGGGUUAUGAUUAACUUUUAUAAUGACAUUUUGAUUUUAAAGUUUUUAUUUGAAAAAGCAAAUACUUCUUUUUCUUUUUGGAAACCAACUUUCUGGGUAAAACAUUAAAGUCUUUUUUAAAAAAGUACCACUGUUAUAUAAUUUCUAGAAGAUAAGUUAUUAAUACUACCUGGCAGGGGUGUUAAUAGGCCUGUUGAAUCUGAAAACACUUUCCUCUUGACCUUGAUGCAGUUUAGUAUUAAAUUCAAAUGAUGGGUGAGGAUGUGGAGAA